UGCUUGCACCUGAUUGACAUUGGAUCACCAGUGAGUGGCGGACGGGUGAGUAACACGUAGGUAACCUGCCCCGGAGCGGGGGAUAACAUUUGGAAACAGAUGCUAAUACCGCAUAACAGCGAAAGCCACAUGGCUUUUGUUUGAAAGAUGGCUUUGGCUAUCACUCUGGGAUGGACCUGCGGUGCAUUAGCUAGUUGGUAAGGUAACGGCUUACCAAGGCGAUGAUGCAUAGCCGAGUUGAGAGACUGAUCGGCCACAAUGGAACUGAGACACGGUCCAUACUCCUACGGGAGGCAGCAGUAGGGAAUCUUCCACAAUGGGCGCAAGCCUGAUGGAGCAACACCGCGUGAGUGAAGAAGGGUUUCGGCUCGUAAAGCUCUGUUGUUGGAGAAGAACGUGCGUGAGAGUAACUGUUCACGCAGUGACGGUAUCCAACCAGAAAGUCACGGCUAACUACGUGCCAGCAGCCGCGGUAAUACGUAGGUGGCAAGCGUUAUCCGGAUUUAUUGGGCGUAAAGCGAGCGCAGGCGGUUGCUUAGGUCUGAUGUGAAAGCCUUCGGCUUAACCGAAGAAGUGCAUCGGAAACCGGGCGACUUGAGUGCAGAAGAGGACAGUGGAACUCCAUGUGUAGCGGUGGAAUGCGUAGAUAUAUGGAAGAACACCGGUGGCGAAGGCGGCUGUCUGGUCUGCAACUGACGCUGAGGCUCGAAAGCAUGGGUAGCGAACAGGAUUAGAUACCCUGGUAGUCCAUGCCGUAAACGAUGAGUGCUAGGUGUUGGAGGGUUUCCGCCCUUCAGUGCCGGAGCUCACGCAUUAAGCACUCCCCC
RNAcentral lists this ribosomal RNA (827 nucleotides) under uncultured Bacillota bacterium. RNAcentral's name for it is "bacterial SSU rRNA". It matches the Rfam family "Bacterial small subunit ribosomal RNA", at positions 52 to 873 of the family's 1533-position model. The record is from RNAcentral. Lineage: Bacteria; Bacillati; Bacillota.